AACGAACGCUGGCGGCAUGCCUAACACAUGCAAGUCGAACGAGACCUUCGGGUCUAGUGGCGCACGGGUGCGUAACGCGUGGGAACCUGCCUUUAGGUUCGGAAUAACUCAGAGAAAUUUGAGCUAAUACCGGAUGAUGUCUUCGGACCAAAGAUUUAUCGCCUGUAGAUGGGCCCGCGUUGGAUUAGCUAGUUGGUGGGGUAAAGGCCUAACAAGGCGACGAUCCAUAGCUGGUCUGAGAGGAUGAUCAGCCACACUGGGACUGAGACACGGCCCAGACUCCUACGGGAGGCAGCAGUGGGGAAUAUUGGACAAGGGGCGAAAGCCUGAUCCAGCAAUGCCGCGUGAGUGAUGAAGGCCUUAGGGUUGUAAAGCUCUUUUACCCGAGAUGAUAAUGACAGUAUCGGGAGAAUAAGCUCCGGCUAACUCCGUG
Molecule: ribosomal RNA, 433 nt
Filed under: uncultured bacterium
Lineage: Bacteria
Description: partial 16S ribosomal RNA
Rfam family: Bacterial small subunit ribosomal RNA
Source: RNAcentral